UACGUAGGGUGCGAGCGUUGUCCGGAAUUAUUGGGCGUAAAGAGCUUGUAGGCGGUCUGUCGCGUCUGCUGUGAAAAUCCGGGGCUCAACCCCGGACUUGCAGUGGGUACGGGCGGACUAGAGUGUGGUAGGGGAGACUGGAAUUCCUGGUGUAGCGGUGAAAUGCGCAGAUAUCAGGAGGAACACCGAUGGCGAAGGCAGGUCUCUGGGCCACUACUGACGCUGAGAAGCGAAAGCAUGGGGAGCGAACAGG
Molecule: ribosomal RNA, 253 nt
Filed under: uncultured bacterium
Lineage: Bacteria
Description: partial 16S ribosomal RNA
Rfam family: Bacterial small subunit ribosomal RNA
Source: RNAcentral